This 468-nucleotide ribosomal RNA is filed under the name uncultured bacterium. RNAcentral describes it as "partial 16S ribosomal RNA". It matches the Rfam family "Bacterial small subunit ribosomal RNA", at positions 28 to 507 of the family's 1533-position model. The record is from RNAcentral.
GACGAACGCUGGCGGCGUGCUUAACACAUGCAAGUCGAACGGAAAGGCCCUGCUUUUGUGGGGUGCUCGAGUGGCGAACGGGUGAGUAACACGUGAGUAACCUGCCCUUGACUUUGGGAUAACUUCAGGAAACUGGGGCUACUACCGUAUAGGAGCUCCUGCUGCAUGGUGGGGGUUGGAAAGUUUCGGCGGUUGGGGAUGGACUCGCGGCUUAUCAGCUUGUUGGUGGGGUAGUGGCUUACCAAGGCUUUGACGGGUAGCCGGCCUGAGAGGGUGACCGGCCACAAUGGGACUGAGAUACGGACCAGACUGCUACGGGAGGCAGCAGUGGGGAAUAUUGCACAAUGGGCGGAAGCCUGAUGCAGCAACGCCGCGUGCGGGAUGACGGCCUUCGGGUUGUAAACCGCUUUCGCCUGUGACGAAGCGGGAGUGACGGUAAUGAGUAAAGAAGCACCGGCUAACUACGUG